This 1205-nucleotide long non-coding RNA is filed under the name Anas platyrhynchos platyrhynchos (common mallard). RNAcentral's name for it is "lncRNA (ENSAPLG00000026627.1)". The record is from RNAcentral. Lineage: Eukaryota; Metazoa; Chordata; Aves; Anseriformes; Anatidae.
CAUGGCUGAAGUCUGCUUUAAGCAAACUUUAGACGCUAGGCCCUUUCACACUCAAGUAUAGAGCCUUGGGUGGAUAGGAAGCUUCAUGCAGAUUGGUAUAUCAAACAGUAAAAGAAAAUGAAGGUCAAGAACAGCUGUGCUUGGUCAGACCAAAAUGCUCAUCUAAUCCACCGUCAUGCCUCUGAUGUCCCUCUGACAGGGACAGGGUCACUGGCAGGCAUAGGAGAUCCUAGAGGUAACUGCUUGCUCUUGCAGUGUUAAAUCAAGUUGCUUUCAAGCCCAGAUUCAAGAGGAAAGUCUGUAUAACUCUGGACAGGUUUUACUGCUACAUAUGUACUUUUUGUCAUUCACAUAAAGAAAAUGUACUUAAAGGACUUCACUUUCGCAUCGUAAGGCCAUUAUGUUUCUUACCUGGACAUUUAUCAUCUGACUGAUAAUUAUAAUGACUGUUCUUUGUACCUGGAUUCCUUAGGGAGUGGGCCGUAGGUAAAGUCCCUUAUCCUCCUUAUGUGUUUAUAUCCCAUUAAUUUUAUUGAGAGUUAGGCAACUAAUUACAUGCCUGAAAACCUUUGAUAAGCUAGGCCUUUGUCUCUGCAAACAGAUGCUAUGGUGCUGAUAGCAUUGCAAUGGAGUGAAACUACAACAUGGAUAGUUUUGUGCGUAAGUGAGGAACUGGGCAUUGGAAAACCCAACUUUUUUUUUUUUUUUUUUUUUUACCUGAAUGUCCUACAAAGUACUCUGAAACUUAUUUUAAUUAUUCAAGCUCACCAGGUCCCAGCUCUUACCUAGACAUUGUCAGUCUGUUUUCAAGACAGCAAGUUUUGGUAGAAGGGUUGUGUGCUUUCUGGGGUCUGAAGAAAAGGAUGCUGCUUCUGGACCUUGGAAAGAUGUUUCCUGAGGAGGCAGCCGACGUGCCUGAGGGGAGGCUGAAUGCAGGAGGACUGGAAAAAAAAGGCACUCAGACUGUGACUGCACCUGGAAAAAACAACUUUAAGGAGGUGGGAAAGACUGCAGACAGUUUCCUGAAGGAGUGUGAAAAUGGCAUUUGCUGCAGAAAGUUGGAAUUGUGGAUACCCUGCAUCCUGAACCUGCUGCAGAAGAUCUGGAGUACCUGCAGGAGAGCGAAGACAGUAAAACUGCAUUCGUACUUCGUGGGAGUGAAUUACAGCAAGGACUUCUACCUGCAGCAACAACACCCAGGUUAA